RNAcentral lists this ribosomal RNA (253 nucleotides) under uncultured bacterium. RNAcentral's name for it is "partial 16S ribosomal RNA". It matches the Rfam family "Bacterial small subunit ribosomal RNA", at positions 524 to 776 of the family's 1533-position model. The record is from RNAcentral.
UACGAAGGGUGCUAGCGUUGUUCGGAAUCACUGGGCGUAAAGCGCGCGUAGGCGGCUUUUCAAGUCAGGGGUGAAAUCCCACGGCUCAACCGUGGAACUGCCUUUGAAACUGGGAAGCUAGAGUGUCGGAGGGGAUAGCGGAAUUGCUAAUGUAGAGGUGAAAUUCGUAGAUAUUAGCAGGAACACCGGUGGCGAAGGCGGCUAUCUGGACGACAACUGACGCUGAAGUGCGAAAGCGUGGGGAUCAAACAGG